GGUGUAUCAGGGCCAGAAGACUCGGGAAUGCGGAGGGUACGAGCGUUAAACGGAAUUACUGGGCGUAAAGCGUGCGUAGGCGGUUGGAUAAGCGAGAUGUGAAAGCCCUGGGCUCAACCUAGGAAGAGCAUUUCGAACUGGCGAACUAGAGUCUUGUAGAGGGGGGUAGAAUUCCAGGUGUAGCGGUGAAAUGCGUAGAUAUAGGAAGGAACACCAGUGGCGAAGGCGACCACCUGGACUGAUACUGACACUGAGGUGCGAAAGCGUGGGGAGCAAACAGGAUUAGAUACCCGAGUAGUC
RNAcentral lists this ribosomal RNA (300 nucleotides) under uncultured Lactobacillus sp. Its description in RNAcentral is "partial 16S ribosomal RNA". It matches the Rfam family "Bacterial small subunit ribosomal RNA", at positions 496 to 795 of the family's 1533-position model. The record is from RNAcentral. Lineage: Bacteria; Bacillati; Bacillota; Bacilli; Lactobacillales; Lactobacillaceae.